Molecule: ribosomal RNA, 460 nt
Filed under: uncultured bacterium
Lineage: Bacteria
Description: partial 16S ribosomal RNA
Rfam family: Bacterial small subunit ribosomal RNA
Source: RNAcentral
CCUACGGGGGGCAGCAGUGAGGAAUAUUGGUCAAUGGACGAGAGUCUGAACCAGCCACGUAGCGUGAAGGAUGACUGCCCUAUGGGUUGUAAACUUCUUUUAUAAAGGAAUAAAACGAGGCACGUGUGCCUUUUUGCAUGUACUUUAUGAAUAAGGAUCGGCUAACUCCGUGCCAGCCGCCGCGGUAAUACGGAGGAUCCGAGCGUUAUCCGGAUUUAUUGGGUUUAAAGGGAGCGUAGAUGGGUUGUUAAGUCAGUUGUGAAAGUUUGCGGCUCAACCGUAAAAUUGCAAUUGAUACUGGCAGUCUUGAGUACAGUUGAGGUAAGCGGAAUUCGUGGUGUAGCGGUGAAAUGCUUAGAUAUCACGAAGAACCCCGAUUGCGAAGGCAGCUUACUAAACUGUGACUGACAUUGAUGCUCGAAAGUGUGGGUAUCAAACAGGAUUAGAUACCCCUGUAGUC